Molecule: ribosomal RNA, 301 nt
Filed under: uncultured bacterium
Lineage: Bacteria
Description: partial 16S ribosomal RNA
Rfam family: Bacterial small subunit ribosomal RNA
Source: RNAcentral
CAGUCGCCACGGUAAUACAGAGGGUGCGAGCGUUAAUCGGAUUUACUGGGCGUAAAGCGCGCGUAGGUGGUUUGUUAAGUUGGAUGUGAAAUCCCCGGGCUCAACCUGGGAACUGCAUCCAAAACUGGCAAGCUAGAGUAUGGUAGAGGGUGGUGGAAUUUCCUGUGUAGCGGUGAAAUGCGUAGAUAUAGGAAGGAACACCAGUGGCGAAGGCGACCACCUGGACUGAUACUGACACUGAGGUGCGAAAGCGUGGGGAGCAAACAGGAUUAGAUACCCCAGUAGUCCCUGUCUCUUAUAC